RNAcentral lists this non-coding RNA (23 nucleotides) under Gallus gallus (chicken). RNAcentral also lists the same sequence under 1 other name. Lineage: Eukaryota; Metazoa; Chordata; Aves; Galliformes; Phasianidae. The record is from RNAcentral.
UAAGUGCUUCCAUGUUUUAGUCG